AUUGAACGCUGGCGGCAUGCCUUACACAUGCAAGUCGAACGGCAGCACGGGAGCAAUCCUGGUGGCGAGUGGCGAACGGGUGAGUAAUAUAUCGGAACGUGCCCAGUCGUGGGGAUAACGUAGCGAAAGCUACGCUAAUACCGCAUACGAUCUAUGGAUGAAAGCGGGGGAUCGCAAGACCUCGCGCGAUUGGAGCGGCCGAUAUCAGAUUAGGUAGUUGGUGAGGUAAAGGCUCACCAAGCCGACGAUCUGUAGCUGGUCUGAGGGGACGACCAGCCACACUGGGACUGAGACACGGCCCAGACUCCUACGGGAGGCAGCAGUGGGGAAUUUUGGGACAAUGGGCGCAAGCCUGAUCCAGCAAUGCCGCGUGCAGGAUGAAGGCCUUCGGGUUGUUAACGUAGC
This 405-nucleotide ribosomal RNA is filed under the name uncultured bacterium. Its description in RNAcentral is "bacterial SSU rRNA". It matches the Rfam family "Bacterial small subunit ribosomal RNA", at positions 30 to 436 of the family's 1533-position model. The record is from RNAcentral.